UUUAACUGAAGAGUUUGAUCAUGGCUCAGAUUGAACGCUGGCGGCAGGCUUAACACAUGCAAGUCGAGCGGGGGAAGGUAGCUUGCUACUGGACCUAGCGGCGGACGGGUGAGUAAUGCUUAGGAAUCUGCCUAUUAGUGGGGGACAACAUCUCGAAAGGGAUGCUAAUACCGCAUACGUCCUACGGGAGAAAGCAGGGGAUCUUCGGACCUUGGCGCUAAUAGAUGAGCCUAAGUCGGAUUAGCUAGUUGGUGGGGUAAAGGCCUACCAAGGCGACGAUCUGUAGCGGGUCUGAGAGGAUGAUCCGCCACACUGGGACUGAGACACGGCCCAGACUCCUACGGGAGGCAGCAGUGGGGAAUAUUGGACAAUGGGGGGAACCCUGAUCCGAGCCAUGCCGCGUGUGUGAAGAAGGCCUUAUGGUUGUAAAGCACUUUAAGCGAGGAGGAGGCUACUUUAGUUAAUACCUAGAGAUAGUGGACGUUACUCGCAGAAUAAGCACCGGCUAACUCUGUGCCAGCAGCCGCGGUAAUACAGAGGGUGCGAGCGUUAAUCGGAUUUACUGGGCGUAAAGCGUGCGUAGGCGGCAUUAUUAAGUCGGAUGUGAAAUCCCCGAGCUUAACUUGGGAAUUGCAUUCGAUACUGGUGAGCUAGAGUAUGGGAGAGGAUGGUAGAAUUCCAGGUGUAGCGGUGAAAUGCGUAGAGAUCUGGAGGAAUACCGAUGGCGAAGGCAGCCAUCUGGCCUAAUACUGACGCUGAGGUACGAAAGCAUGGGGAGCAAACAGGAUUAGAUACCCUGGUAGUCCAUGCCGUAAACGAUGUCUACUAGCCGUUGGGGCCUUUGAGGCUUUAGUGGCGCAGCUAACGCGAUAAGUAGACGCCUGGGGAGUACGGUCGCAAGACUAAAACUCAAAUGAAUUGACGGGGGCCCGCACAAGCGGUGGAGCAUGUGGUUUAAUUCGAUGCAACGCGAAGAACCUUACCUGGCCUUGACAUACUAGAAACUUUCCAGAGAUGGAUUGGUGCCUUCGGGAAUCUAGAUACAGGUGCUGCAUGGCUGUCGUCAGCUCGUGUCGUGAGAUGUUGGGUUAAGUCCCGCAACGAGCGCAACCCUUUUCCUUACUUGCCAGCAUUUCGGAUGGGAACUUUAAGGAUACUGCCAGUGACAAACUGGAGGAAGGCGGGGACGACGUCAAGUCAUCGAUGG
This 1207-nucleotide ribosomal RNA is filed under the name Streptococcus agalactiae. Its description in RNAcentral is "bacterial SSU rRNA". It matches the Rfam family "Bacterial small subunit ribosomal RNA", at positions 1 to 1198 of the family's 1533-position model. Lineage: Bacteria; Bacillati; Bacillota; Bacilli; Lactobacillales; Streptococcaceae. The record is from RNAcentral.